GAUGAUGAUGAGCAUGGUGGAGCUGGGCUGU
Molecule: non-coding RNA, 31 nt
Filed under: Homo sapiens (human)
Lineage: Eukaryota; Metazoa; Chordata; Mammalia; Primates; Hominidae
Source: RNAcentral